AGCUCCAAUAGCGUAUAUUAAAGUUGCUGCAGUUAAAAAGCUCGUAGUUGCAUUUCCGAGGCAAGGGAUUAGUCCGACCUUUGGUGGGUAUUUAAUCCUCUUGCCUCGUCCUUGAGUGGUGCUUCUUGGUAUUAAGUUAUCGAGGAGAUAGCCGCUCAUCGUUUACUGUGAGAAAAUUAGAGUGUUCAAAGCAGGCUUAUGCCGUUGAAUAUAUUAGCAUGGAAUAAUAAGAUAGGACCUCGGUACUAUUGUGGUGGUUUGAGAACCAAGGUAAUGAUGAAUAGGGACAGUUGGGGGUAUUCGUAUUCAGUUGUCAGAGGUGAAAUUCUUAGAUUUACUGAAGACGAACUACUGCGAAAGCAUUUACCAAGGAUGUUUUCA
This 381-nucleotide ribosomal RNA is filed under the name uncultured marine Chaetocerotaceae. RNAcentral's name for it is "SSU rRNA". It matches the Rfam family "Eukaryotic small subunit ribosomal RNA", at positions 587 to 972 of the family's 1831-position model. The record is from RNAcentral. Lineage: Eukaryota; Bacillariophyta; Thalassiosirophyceae; Chaetocerotales; Chaetocerotaceae.